AACGGCCGUACCAUGCUGAAUAUACCGGUUCUCGUUAGAUCACCGAAGUCAAGCAUCAUUGGGCGCGGUCAGUACUUGGGUGGGAGACCACCUGGGAACACUGCGUGCCGUU
RNAcentral lists this ribosomal RNA (112 nucleotides) under Caerostris darwini. Lineage: Eukaryota; Metazoa; Arthropoda; Arachnida; Araneae; Araneidae. The record is from RNAcentral.